GAUGAACGCUAGCGACAGGCUUAACACAUGCAAGUCGAGGGGCAGCACGGGAGUAGCAAUACAACUGUGGCGACCGGCGCACGGGUGAGUAACGCGUAUGCAACCUACCUAUCAGAGGGGAAUAACCCGGCGAAAGUCGGACUAAUACCGCAUAAAACAGGGGCACCGCAUGGUGAUAUUUGUUAAAGAAAUUCGCUGAUAGAUGGGCAUGCGUUCCAUUAGGUAGUUGGUGAGGUAACGGCUCACCAAGCCGACGAUGGAUAGGGGAACUGAGAGGUUGGUCCCCCACACUGGUACUGAGACACGGACCAGACUCCUACGGGAGGCAGCAGUGAGGAAUAUUGGUCAAUGGGCGAGAGCCUGAACCAGCCAAGUCGCGUGAAGGAAGAAGGAUCUAUGGUUCGUAAACUUCUUUUGCAGGGGAAUAAAGUGCAGGACGUGUCCUGUUUUGUAUGUACCCUGAGAAUAAGGAUCGGCUAACUCCGUGCCAGCAGCCGCCGUAA
Molecule: ribosomal RNA, 503 nt
Filed under: uncultured bacterium
Lineage: Bacteria
Description: partial 16S ribosomal RNA
Rfam family: Bacterial small subunit ribosomal RNA
Source: RNAcentral